CUGCUGCCUCCCGUAGGAGUCUGGUCCGUGUCUCAGUACCAGUGUGGGGGACCUUCCUCUCAGAACCCCUACGCAUCGUUGCCUUGGUGGGCCGUUACCCCGCCAACUAGCUAAUGCGCCGCAUGCCCAUCCUCCGCCGGAAUCGCUUCCUUUUAACACCCGUGGGAUGCCCCACAGAUGUACCACGCGGUAUUAGUCCGGAUUUCUCCGGGUUAUCCCCCUGCGGAGGGCAGGUUGCAUACGUGUUACUCACCCGUGCGCCGGUCGCCGG
Molecule: ribosomal RNA, 271 nt
Filed under: uncultured bacterium
Lineage: Bacteria
Description: partial 16S ribosomal RNA
Source: RNAcentral